This 350-nucleotide long non-coding RNA is filed under the name Mytilus galloprovincialis (Mediterranean mussel). The record is from RNAcentral. Lineage: Eukaryota; Metazoa; Mollusca; Bivalvia; Mytilida; Mytilidae.
UUUUAGAUUUACCCAACAUGUGUGACGAUAUAUUCUGUGACGUCAUUUAGUCCUUUUUAGAAUUUCCUCGCAGCAAGCAAGCUGUUUAAAUUUUGUAAGCGGUAAACUUGAAAACCCGCCCUCCCACUCCUUUUUAUUGAACAAGAUACUGCUCUUUUGUAUUUAUUUUUCAGGUUUGUGUCGGUGAUAGUGAUGAUACAGAUUUGACUGAUGAUGUUAACUCGUUUGCUGUGAGAAAAGUGACUUUUAAUUUUGAACUUUGAGCAUCAUAAAUAUAUUCCCGUAAAUGGCAGAAUUCGCUGCAUAGAAUCUUAAUGUUAACUAUGAAAUUUUAGGUUUUUGGAUAAUAC